Molecule: long non-coding RNA, 323 nt
Filed under: Brassica napus (rape)
Lineage: Eukaryota; Viridiplantae; Streptophyta; Magnoliopsida; Brassicales; Brassicaceae
Description: long non-coding RNA (BNAP_LNC025366)
Source: RNAcentral
UAAGUUCAGAUUUAGGGUUUAGGGUUUACGUUUAGGGUUUAGAGUUGAUGUUUUAGGGUUUAAAUUUGAAGGUUUAGGGUUUAGGGUUUAUGGUUUAGGGUUUAGAGUUGAUGUUUCGGAGUUUAGGGUUUAAAGUUGAUGUUUCAUGGUUUAAGGUUUAGAGUUGAUGUUUUAGGGUUUAGAGUUGAUGUUUUAUGUUUAGAUUAGUUAACCGUAUGUUUUUUUGUCAAAGUUAAUCAAAAGGUUAUAAUUGUCUUUUACCCUUUAUUAAAGAUGAGGGUAAAAGUGGUUAGUGUAAACAUGAAAAAUGGUACUUUGAAAAU